Molecule: ribosomal RNA, 421 nt
Filed under: uncultured Limnohabitans sp.
Lineage: Bacteria; Pseudomonadati; Pseudomonadota; Betaproteobacteria; Burkholderiales; Comamonadaceae
Description: bacterial SSU rRNA
Rfam family: Bacterial small subunit ribosomal RNA
Source: RNAcentral
UGACGAGUUUGAUCCUGGCUCAGAUUGAACGCUGGCGGAAUGCUUUACACAUGCAAGUCGAACGGUAGAGGGGGCAACCCCUUGAGAGUGGCGAACGGGUGAGUAAUAUAUCGGAACGUGCCCAGUCGUGGGGGAUAACGUAGCGAAAGUUACGCUAAUACCACAUACGAUCUACGAAUGAAAGCGGGGGACUCGCAAGAGCCUCGCGCGAUUGGAGCGGCCGAUAUCAGAUUAGGUAGUUGGUGGGGUAAAGGCUCACCAAGCCAACGAUCUGUAGCUGGUCUGAGAGGACGACCAGCCACACUGGAACUGAGACACGGUCCAGACUCCUACGGGAGGCAGCAGUGGGGAAUUUUGGACAAUGGACGCAAGUCUGAUCCAGCCCAUUCCCGCGUGCAGGAUGAAGGCCCCUCGGGGUUGU